GACACAAAUUAAGUAUCUGUAUAACGUAAAUAUCAUUAUUAUUGACACAAUAUAGUAUCUGUAUAACAUAAUAUCAUUAUUAUCGACACAAAUUAAAUAUCUGUGUAACGUAAAUAUAAUUAUUAUCGAAACAAAUUCAAUAUCUCUAUAACGUAAAUAUCAUUAUUAUCGACACAAAUUAAAUAUCUGUAUAACGUAAAUAUAAUUAUUAUCGAAAUAAAUUCAAUAUCUCUAUAACGUAAAUAUCAUUAUUAUCGACACAAUAUAGUAUCUGUAUAACGUAAAUAUCAUUAUUAUCGACACAAAUUAAAUAUCUGUAUAACGUAAAUAUAAUUAUUAUCGAAACAAAUUCAAUAUCUCUAUAACGUAAAUAUCAUUAUUAUCGACACAAAUUAUGUAUCUGCAUAACGUAAAUAUCAUUAUUAUCGACACCAUAUAGUAUCUGUAUAACGUAAAUAUCAUUAUUAUCGACACAAAUUAAAUAUCUGUAUAACGUAAAUAUAAUUAUUAUCGAAACAAAUUCAAUAUCUCUAUAACGUAAAUAUCAUUAUUAUCGACACAAUAUAGUAUCUGUAUAACGUAAAUAUCAUUAUUAUCGACACAAUAUAGUAUCUGUAUAACGUAAAUAUCAUUAUUAUCGACACAAAUUAAGAAUCUGUAUAACGUAAAUAUCAUUAUUAUUGACACAAAUUAAAUAUCUGUAUAACGUAAAUAUCAUUAUUAUCGACACAAUAUAGUAUCUGUAUAACGUAAAUAUCAUUAUUAUUGACACAAAUUAAAUAUCUGUAUAACGUAAAUAUCAUUAUUAUUGCCAAAAAUUAAAUAUCUGUAUAACGUAAAUAUCAUUAUUAUUGACACAAAUUAAAUAUCUGUAUAAUGUAAAUAUCAUUAUUAUCGACACAAUAUAGUAUCUGUAUAACGUAAAUAUCAUUAUUAUCGACACAAUAUAGUAUCUGUAUAACGUAAAUAUCAUUAUUAUUGACACAAAUUAAAUAUCUGUAUAACGUAAAUAUCAUUAUUAUUGCCAAAAAUUAAAUAUCUGUAUAACGUAAAUAUCAUUAUUAUUGACACAAAUUAAAUAUCUGUAUAAUGUAAAUAUCAUUAUUAUCGACACAAUAUAGUAUCUGUAUAACGUAAAUAUCAUUAUUAUUGACACAAAUUAAAUAUCUGUUAAACGUAAAUAUCAUUAUUAUUGACACAAAUUAAAUAUCUGUAUAACGUAAAUAUUAUUAUUAUUGACACAAAUUAAAUAUCUGUAUAACGUAAAUAUCAUUAUUAUUGACACAAAUUAAAUAUCUGUAUAACGUAAAUAUCAUUAUUAUUGACACAAAUUAAUGAUCUUUAUAACUUAUAUAUCAUUAUUAUCAUCACAACUUGAUUCCAUUGCGGGUUGUGGUUCUUAUUAUAAAUUCAAUUUACAGUAGGGUGAUGACAAAGAGUUGUUUCUAUUUUGGAUAUCAUUGCAUAUCAUUGACAUAUUUAACAUUGUGAUAAUACUAUGCUUUUUGAUGGUGAGACCACAUAUCCUUAUUCGUAUUUUUUUAAACCAAUUUAACAUGAUCAUUCGAUAAUUAUAUAUUUUAAUAUAUAAUAUAAUUCAAAAUUAAAUGUACGCUACUACAUACCGUUUAAUGCAUAGACUUAGAAUACACAAGCUUAUAAACGACCUUACCACAUAAUAAGUGUAAUAAAGAGGGCAACUAUAAAUGCUGUAGCUCUUUUUCUUUUGGUGUCACGUCAAACACUAUCACCGCUUCGGAAACAAAUGGCGCUCUAAGAGAGAGAAAGCGGCUCAAGAAACUCUCCCGGCAUUCUUCUUUUGCUCUCUUUUUAAUAAAAUAUACACUGUGUACUGUCAUUGUUAUUGUUAUAAAAUAAUCAUAAUCUAGUCCCAGGCGGUCCGAUCACUUAUAUAUUCAGCUAUAGAGUUUACGACAGAACCAUUUUUUAAUAAAACAUAUAAAUUUAUUUAUAGAUAAUGCCUGGCUGGGAUGUUAUUAAAAAAGUGUAAACAUUUACCCUUCAAGCUAUAAUAUAUCUUAUGAAGCCUACUAGAAUUAGUUACAAGCAAUCCCUUAUUAGUGUUACAAUAAUGAAAUAUCUUAGCAGUUGUUAACUUGUUAAUCAAAAUCAGUUACAUAUAAUAUAUUCACUUACCUUUUCUAUGUUGUAACACCGUAAGAGAUAUAUAUAUUAUAUAAAAUGUGCCAAUUGAAAAAGUUAGAUUAGGCCCAUUUAAUGGUUACUCUGUAUAUAAAAGAUAAUUAAUAUAGUAUAUUUUAUUGUUUUAUAGAUCUUUACCUUAGGGAUAGGUAAUAUAUAUAUAUAUUACCUAUCCCUGUAUAUUUGUGGUUAUAAAAUAUUUGUGCCAAAUUCAGUUAUUGUGUAAAGUGUAAUUAUAAUUUAAUUAAUUUUAAUCCAAUAAGCUAUGGUUUCCUAAAAGAGCGUUGUCGAUACAAAAGUCGGUUAUGUACUUAAGUUUAUUGACAGUUGAUGUUAAGUCCAAUAGUACCUACCUUCUACUGUUUUAGAGUGACAUCUAUAAUGCGAACUUAGACUGCUCAGAAUUUACAAAAAACUUAGCUUGAUUUUUUAAUUGGACUGUUUAUGCUUAAGCAUUAGCUUUAAUUAUACUGAGCUAAAAGCUGAUUAAGCUCUAAGUAUAAUUUCAGAUAAUGAUCGAAUGAUGAAGACUAUGAAAACGAAAUCAAUGAAAUUUUACUGGGAGGCUCCUUUGCACAGGAUGCCGGCUAGAUUAUGGGUACCACAACGGCGCCUAUAUCUGCCGUGAAGCAGUAAUGUGUAAGCAUUACUGAGUUUCGGUCUGAAGGGCGCCAAAGCUAGUGAAAUUACUGGGCAAAUGAAACUUAACAUCUUAUAUCUCAAGGUGACGAGCGCAGUUCUAGUGCCGCUCAGAAAUUUUGGGGGUUUGUCAAGAAUCCUGAGAGGCAUUGCAUUGAUAUGGGCAGGGCGCAUCAAUUAUCAUCAGCUGCGUCCUGCUCGUCGCGUCUAAAAAGAAAAAAAAUUGGUAGAGUGUGAAUUCGUGCUAUAACGUAUUCAAAAUACUUACAGACACGAAUAGUAAUGCUAUAUCAAGACUUCUUCAUAACUUUGAGAAGAAUUUUUCCUGUUUUCCUUCAUUAAAUUAUUAUUCAACGUUACUGUUGAAUACAAUUCGUAUAUUUGAGCACCUUUCAACUUAAUUUGUUAUAAUAAUAUAUACUACGUUAUAUACUUUUUACGGUUCAUUAUAAUGUCCGACUCCUCUAAAUAACGCAAGGACAUUGAAUGGAACCACAGCUUUAAAAUUUUAUAUUGUUCCAAAUACUAGUCUAGCGCGUAUCUUAUAAAUUCAGUUUACACUCUAAUAUUUCUGUGAUUUUAUUUUAUUACAUUAUUUUAUAUAAUACUAGCUAUAUUUUGAUAUUUACUUAAUAGAAAUAAGUAAUAAAUAACACUUACCUGUCAGAGCACUUAUAACAUAAACGAUAGUAAAUAGAAAGUAGUAUUUAAUAGUUGUCUCAAUGAUUCAUACUAUGAAGUAAUUUUAUUGUAUUGUUAUAAAUUUGUAUUGACACUACGUUACAUUUGAUGCCUCUUAUCAUAUUGUGUUAUGGUCUAAUCUGAACAGCUUCAAUGAAGGCGAUAACACCAAAAAGAUUUAAAGAUUUGACGACGCUUCUAUUGUUCUCGACACGCCCGCGCCUAUGCGUCUUUUCUUCAAUAGUUCUUUCGCUGUUGAACAAAGACGUUUAUAUUUACACCUAGCAUAAUAUAUGAAUAAACUGGAUUUUCUUAUAAUAUAACUUUUAACUGUUAUACCAAACAAUAGUCAAAUUAGUGUUAUCAUUACGGCACUUUAUUAUAUUCUUUAGCGGGCAGUUCAAAAUAGUAUACACGUGUACACCUAGCAUUGAGAUGAUUCUCUUGAAAUAAUAUGGCUAAGCGUAUGUUGAGACGCAGAGGAGAAAUAUAAAAAGCUUAUUCGAAGUGGUCUCCAUUGGCUGCAAUUCAGUCCUUUAAACGUUGCGGCCACUUAUCAAUGAAGCACGCACUAUUUCCAAAAUUCUUCACUGACAAUCGUAUGGAUUGUUUUAGGGACACCAAAUUAUCAUGGCGUUUAGAGCUAGCCGUACUCUCUAAAACUGAUCAUAAAUCAUAAUCCAGCGGAUUAAGAUCGGGACUACACGACAGCCAGUAUUCAGCUCUGAUGAACUCCGAAACGUUCGUUUCCAACCAAGACUGCGUAGACCGAUGCUGGAAGAACAUUACCUUCUCAAGAAUAGUAUCUUGAUACACUUGUAACGAUGUUUUGAUACCUUUUUCACAAAAGUAUAUAUCAGUCUCUCCUUCCAUAGCUAGCUUCAUAGCUAAUACCCCAACAAACUACUAAUUAGGAAGGAGAGUUAUAAUGGGUAAUAAAAUUUUGCCGCUCACCUCAUUGUACUCAUUUUACUGGUCCACUAGAAUACGUUUAUUCUUUAUACGAUGCGAAAGUGUUCGCGCUGCGUCGCAGCAUACGGUUAGCCUAUUCGUUGCGUGAAAGAGCACGUUUCAACAAUGUAAUUUAAAUAAAUAUAUUUAAUAGAAGAAAUAUGGUGUUUUGUAUGGUAUUGUGUCAUCUUGUUAAAUAUAAAGAAUAUUUAAAUAAAUAUUAAUAUGAUGGUGAAGUUUGAAGUCUGAGCUGCGCGUACGAAACGAAGGAACAUGAUAUUAUUAUGUUUGGACAACAAUCGGCAAUCUAGCUUAGUAUGUUGGUGUGUAGAUGAUUAAAAAUAUAUAAAUGUUACAAACA
Molecule: long non-coding RNA, 4795 nt
Organism: Leptidea sinapis
Lineage: Eukaryota; Metazoa; Arthropoda; Insecta; Lepidoptera; Pieridae
Exons: 2
Source: RefSeq, a predicted model, not a curated record